CCUACGGGGUGCAGCAGUGGGGAAUAUUGCACAAUGGGCGAAAGCCUGACGCAGCGACGCCGCGUGAGGGAUGAAGGUCUUCGGAUCGUAAACCUCUGUCAGCAGGGAAGAACGGUCACUGUGCUAAUCAGCAGUGAAUUGACGGUACCUGCAAAGGAAGCACCGGCUAACUCCGUGCCAGCAGCCGCGGUAAUACGGAGGGUGCGAGCGUUAAUCGGAAUUACUGGGCGUAAAGCGCUCGUAGGCGGUAUGUCAAGUCAAGGGGGAAAUCCCCGCGCUAAACGUGGGAACUGCCUUUGAAACUGGCAAACUGGAGUGUGUGAGAGGAUAGUGGAAUUCCAGGUGUAGGAGUGAAAUCCGUAGAUAUCUGGAGGAACAUCAGUGGCGAAGGCGACUAUCUGGCACAUAACUGACGCUGAGGAGCGAAAGCGUGGGUAGCAAACAGGAUUAGAUACCCUGGUAGUC
Molecule: ribosomal RNA, 465 nt
Filed under: uncultured bacterium
Lineage: Bacteria
Description: partial 16S ribosomal RNA
Rfam family: Bacterial small subunit ribosomal RNA
Source: RNAcentral